RNAcentral lists this ribosomal RNA (253 nucleotides) under uncultured bacterium. Its description in RNAcentral is "partial 16S ribosomal RNA". It matches the Rfam family "Bacterial small subunit ribosomal RNA", at positions 524 to 776 of the family's 1533-position model. The record is from RNAcentral.
UACGUAGGAGGCAAGCGUUGUCCGGAAUUAUUGGGCGUAAAGAGCUCGUAGGCGGUCUGUCGCGUCGGCUGUGAAAACCCGGGGCUCAACCCCGGGCCUGCAGUCGAUACGGGCAGACUAGAGUGCGGUAGGGGAGACUGGAAUUCCUGGUGUAGCGGUGAAAUGCGCAGAUAUCAGGAGGAACACCGGUGGCGAAGGCGGGUCUCUGGGCCGUAACUGACGCUGAGGAGCGAAAGCGUGGGGAGCGAACAGG